RNAcentral lists this unclassified non-coding RNA (308 nucleotides) under Melitaea cinxia (Glanville fritillary). RNAcentral describes it as "misc RNA ENSMCXG00005004689.1". The record is from RNAcentral. Lineage: Eukaryota; Metazoa; Arthropoda; Insecta; Lepidoptera; Nymphalidae.
AUUUUUCGGCAAUAUGCCUCAAACAUUUCCAUUCUGCCACUAAUUGUAGAAAAAAUCUAUAACAAGUUCUUAGGGAAAUUAAAUUCAAAGAGCGUUGUGUCUAACUUAGAGUAGGAUUGAUACAUCUCAAUAAAUCUCUUGAACGAGAUAAUUGGUCUGCUCGGCAUAAACAUACCAUCAGCGUAGCUUUGACUGUAAAACUCUUGUUCUGUAAAUUCUCUUAUAUAUCCUUCAAUGUUUUUUGUAUAUAUUAAACAGAAUUAUAGAACUUUCCAUGACACAGGAUUUUUCCAGAUGAGAUUACACCA